RNAcentral lists this long non-coding RNA (319 nucleotides) under Gallus gallus (chicken). Its description in RNAcentral is "lncRNA (ENSGALG00010003653.1)". The record is from RNAcentral. Lineage: Eukaryota; Metazoa; Chordata; Aves; Galliformes; Phasianidae.
UGGUCAACCAUUGCACUUUUUGGCCACUACAGAUGAACUGCUGGUCAACUACUGGGCAACCAUUGCUCUUUUUGGCCACCAGGGCACACUGCUACCUCAUGAGCAACCAUUGGUCAACUACAGAUGAACUGUUGGUUGACCAUUGGUCAACCAUGGAUCUUUUUGGCCACUACAGAUGAGCUGCUGGUCAACUACUGGUCAACCAUGGGUCUUUUUGGCCACCAGGGCACACUGCUGCCUCAUGGGUAACCACUGCUCAACCUUUGCUCAACCACUGCUUAACUGUUGGCCAUCCAUUGGCCUUUACGGCCACCAGAGC